Molecule: non-coding RNA, 616 nt
Organism: Solanum lycopersicum (tomato)
Lineage: Eukaryota; Viridiplantae; Streptophyta; Magnoliopsida; Solanales; Solanaceae
Source: RefSeq, a predicted model, not a curated record
UUACUUUGGAAUUCGAUAUUUCGGUUUAAACCGAAAUAUUAUAUUUUAAUUUAUAAAUUAUAGUAUAUUUAAUAAUUAUUAAUAUUAAAUAAUUUUUUUAAAAAAAAUAAAAAACCCUAAAUCCCUAAUACCCUAUCCUCUUCACUCUUCAGCACAACUUCUUCAACUUCAUCCUCUCUCUUCAACUUCAUCCUCUCCUCUUCACUCUUCAGCACAACUUCUGCCUUCUUUUCUCCUCUUCCUCUUUUACUCCAGCCGGCGUCCACCGCCACCAUUAGCAGCGCCGCCAGCCGCCGUCCUCGAGCAGCAGCCAGCUGCAGCAGCCGCCCGCGAGCCGCGGCAGCAGGUAGCAGCAGCCAGCAGGUCAGCCGCAGCCAGCCGCCGGCGACAGCAGGUCAGCAGCAGCCAGCCACCAGCCAACCCAGGUGCAGAUGGCUGAACAAACAGAAUUAAAUAUGGGUGUAGCUGAUCAAAGUCGAAUAAGUAUGGCUGAUUCUACGGAUAAUACACCUACUAAUAGCAAUGAUUUGUCGAUUGGUACAGAAAUAACAAAAAAAAGAAAAGAAAUGGAUCCUAGGUCUCUUGUUUGGCAACACUUUGAAAAGGUUUUUGAAAA